CCUCUCAUGGUGUAGUGGUAACGCGCCCCAACUAGAGAUCGGGGAGUCGUGAGUUCGAUUCUCGUUGAGAAGA
Molecule: transfer RNA, 73 nt
Filed under: Aedes aegypti (yellow fever mosquito)
Lineage: Eukaryota; Metazoa; Arthropoda; Insecta; Diptera; Culicidae
Rfam family: tRNA
About the family: Transfer RNA (tRNA) molecules are approximately 80 nucleotides in length. Their secondary structure includes four short double-helical elements and three loops (D, anti-codon, and T loops).
Source: Rfam by way of RNAcentral